This is a non-coding RNA of Callorhinus ursinus (northern fur seal), 2623 nucleotides long. NCBI's taxonomy places the organism in Eukaryota, Metazoa, Chordata, Mammalia, Carnivora, Otariidae. The record is from RefSeq and is a predicted model, not a curated record.
UGUGCUUCCUUUCCAGCUCCACCUCUACCAGUACACGGAUGGUAGACCACCGAGCCCUGACCAAGGGGAAGAGAUGGGCAGCAGUGAACCCCUUCCCAUUGCAGAGGGUGACAAGAGGAAAAAGAAGAAGCGGAAGGCCCGGACCACUGACUCCUUACCAGGGAAGUUUGAAGAUAUGUACAAGCUGACCUCUGAAUUGCUUGGAGAGGGAGCCUAUGCCAAAGUUCAAGGUGCUGUGAGCCUGCAGAAUGGCAAAGAGUAUGCGGUCAAAAUCAUCGAAAAACAAGCAGGGCAUAGCCGGAGUAGGGUAUUUCGAGAGGUGGAGACCCUCUAUCAGUGUCAAGGAAACAAGAACAUUUUGGAGCUGAUUGAGUUCUUUGAAGAUGACACAAGGUUUUACUUGGUCUUUGAGAAAUUGCAAGGAGGCUCCAUUCUGGCCCACAUCCAGAAGCAGAAGCACUUCAAUGAGCGGGAAGCCAGCCGAGUGGUACGGGAUGUGGCCACUGCACUUGACUUCCUGCACACCAAAGGCAUCGCUCAUCGCGAUCUGAAGCCGGAAAAUAUACUGUGUGAGUCUCCAGAAAAGGUGUCUCCGGUGAAAAUCUGUGACUUUGACUUGGGCAGUGGGGUGAAGUUAAACAAUUCCUGCACCCCCAUAACCACACCAGAGCUGACCACUCCAUGUGGCUCUGCAGAAUACAUGGCCCCGGAGGUGGUGGAGGUCUUCAGGGAUGAGGCCACCUUUUACGACAAGCGCUGUGACCUGUGGAGCCUGGGCGUGGUCCUCUACAUCAUGCUGAGCGGCUACCCCCCCUUCGUAGGUCACUGUGGGACCGACUGUGGCUGGGACAGGGGAGAGGUCUGCAGGGUGUGCCAGAACAAGCUGUUUGAGAGCAUCCAAGAAGGCAAGUAUGAGUUUCCUGACAAGGACUGGGCACACAUCUCCAGCGAGGCCAAAGACCUCAUCUCCAAGCUCCUGGUUCGAGAUGCAAAGCAGAGACUGAGUGCUGCCCAAGUUCUGCAGCACCCUUGGGUGCAGGGGCAAGCUCCAGAAAGGGGACUCCCCACGCCGCAAGUCCUCCAGAGGUGAGGAAAUGAAGUUCCAAAACAUUGGUCAGUCUCCUGUGCCAGGACCCAGAGAGGAGUGAGAAACAGCCUCUGUCCUGUAGGGUCUCCCUAUCAGGUGGAAGACGAGGCAUCAGCAACCAUCACACAAACCAGCUUCAAAAAAUGCCUUAAUAGGUGUGCCCUGUGCCCAGGCCAGCCACACGCCCAAGCAGGAAUGAAGGUCCCCUCAGUCUGGAGCAGCACUAAGCCUUUCUUGAGGAUCUGUUGUGUGCCCAGGACUUGUCAGAGUUAGAACAAAGAAAAAUGGGCCUCACGUCCGCAGCUCUCGUGUUCCCCAUGCAAAGGGCUUUGUGUGCUUUGUCCUGUGUCACCCUCAGAACCACACUGGAGAGGGCUGGGGUGGGAAGGGGCUUUAGAAGUUCCCAAGCUGGAGCGGGAGGGAGGUCUGAAGGCCAGGGCAGCAGACAAGGUGCUGCCGGCAGCUCCUCUCCCUGGGGAGAGGGGAGAUGGGGUCAGUGGCUCCUCACUCUAGGGGCUGUCCGGCAGCAUCAGUGCCUCCGUCUUGACGCUGACAUCCUUUCUGUUGACAGUCUUCCCUUUGCAGCAACUUCUCGCUGGAGGCAGAUGGGCUGGAAAAACAGGCCUGCAGAACCUAAGCCUUCUGGCCCAAAGUCUCCCCAGUCCCUGGGGACUCGGAACCAGGGUAUGAGUUUUGUCUCGACUCCAGCCCCAGCCCAUCAGUCCUUCGGGUUGGCCAACUGAGAGCCCAUGCCAGCCUUGGCCUCGGCACCUCUGGGGAGGAAAGAGCAUAGGCGUGCGCUCUGGCCCGGGCCUCGCCGCGAAACAGAGGUUUUGUGGAGGAAAGCAGCUGUGACCUGGGGCCUAUGCACCCCCCACACGCCGUCCCGGAUCCAGAGGCCUCGGGGACCCAGGCUUCAGCGAGGAGGGCUCCGAGGCUUGCGAGGUGGGGAACAGGCGGGGCAAUCAUCCUCUAGUGACUCGGGCUUCCACCUCCUUUACCUAUGAUAGGAGGCACGUCACCCAAGGAUAGGCUUGUGUUUUCUUUCUCACAGAUGAAACAGCCUGUAUUGAGGAAAGAAUAAGCAAGCCUCCCUCUCUACAUUUCCAAUCAACAGGAGAGCAGGCAUCACAAAGGUUUCAAGUAGCCUUUAAUGACACUCCCCUGUCAAGAGGGAAAAAAUGGAGGCCUUGACUGAACACAGUGUCUCCCUCUGACUGUAGGGUUGCCAAUCCCUCCCACCUCAAAUAGGACAAGUUAGAAAUUCAGGGACAGAGAAAUGCUAGAGUACUUCCCAGCUGAGCACAGAAUCUGGGCACUGAGGUUCUCUCAAGGACUCUGGGGCCUCCUUCCACUCCCCGUGUCUCAGUUUCCCCAUCUAUUCCAUAAGGAUCUUGGAUGGGUUUGUAGUUCUGUGAUCUUGUAACUGAUAAUGGUUUACUGUGUCUCUGCUCCAUAUUUCCUCCUAUGUCUCUGGGCCCUGAGGGAUUUACAAGGUCAAACAAAACAAAACAAAACCAAAACAAAACCCUUUAA